GGGGCGCUGCUGCCUCGUCGCCGCCGGUCCGCGGCGGGGCCGGAGCGGCUGUCCGGGGCCGCCAUUUCCUCGGCGUGCGCUGCGGAGCGGUUCCGGCGGCCGGUGCCGGCAGGAGAGGGACGCGGUGGCGGAGCGGAAUGCAAAUAUUGAAAUUUGUUCUAAAGAUUGGCGGAAAACAGAGAUGAAACCACUAUCUGCUUUGAUUAAUCUAUUACUAAACUCAGCCUGAUUGUAUACAAAUUUCUUGGGGGAAAAACUAUUGAAGUCCAAGAGGAGACCCCUACAUAUGAAGAGAUGACGUGUAAUGGCCCGGAUAAGUCAGAAGCUUGUGCCAGUUCAGACGCUGACUCUGACCAGGAAUGGGCGCAGGAGCGCUACCGACUGGGGACUUUUGCGGAAUUUCCGCGUGGCUGUCCGGUUUCGGCAUCGGCGCUGGCACGAGCUGGCUUUGUUUAUGCUGGAGAAGGCGACAAAGUGAAGUGCUUCAGUUGCCAUAAAACCGCUGAGGGAUGGGCGCCUGGGGAUUCCGCGAUCGAGAGGCACAGGAAGCUUUCCCCAAAUUGCAAAUUUAUUACCGAAUCUACUUUUCUGGAAAAUAACAUACAUCCUGUCGCCCAGAACUGCCAGCACAGAACUGAAAAUGGUUCCGGUAAUUCGGGCCUCCCACAUGCGCUGGAUGACUCAUCUGAUGUGGAGGCAGAUUACCUUCUGAGGACUAGGCAGGUUGUGGAUAUGUCAGAUACCCUCUAUCCUAAAAACCCUGCCAUGUGCAGUGAAGAAACCAGAUUAAAGUCUUUUCACAGCUGGCCCCUCAAUGGGCAGUUGACUCCAAAGGAAUUGGCUAGUGCUGGAUUCUAUUAUACAGGUGUUGGUGAUCAAGUGGCCUGUUUUUGUUGUGGUGGAAAAUUGAAACAGUGGGAACCCAGCGACAGAGCUUGGUCAGAACACAAGAGGCAUUUUCCCAAAUGCUUUUUUGUCCUGGGCCGGGAUGUUGGAAAUCUUCCAUGUGAAGAAGGGAGGAGUGGUCUGAACAGCGGAGAGCAUCCAAGGAAUCCAUCUAUGGCAAAUUAUGGAAGACGUUUACAAACGUUUUUAACUUGGGUAUAUCCUGUUGACAAGGAGCAGCUUGCUGAAGCUGGGUUCUAUAGCAUAGGUAAUGGUGAUCAUGUUGUGUGUUUCCACUGUGGUGGAGGAUUGCAAGAAUGGAAGGAAAAUGAAGACCCAUGGGAUCAACAUGCCAAAUGGUAUCCUGGGUGCAGAUUUGUGAUAAAAGAAAAGGGGCUAGAAUUUAUAAAUAAUGUUCACUUAAGAGAUGGAUGUGGGGAUUCAACAACAGAAGCUGCUGAAGGGACAAUACUUCCUAAAGAUUAUCUCUUACAGAAUCCUUUGGUACAAAGUGCCAUAGACAUGGGUUUCAGUUUGUCUGAGAUUAGGAGCACCAUGGAAAAGAAAUUGCAGAUGUCUGGAGAAAGUCACACAUCUGUUGGGGAGCUGGUAGCAGACUUAAGUGCUCAGAAAGAAAAUACAAGGGAAGAACAACCAAAUGAAAUCCCAGUUGAGGAAAAUGAGCUUGUUCAGUUACAAAACCUCUGUGUGUACUUUCAUUUCAGCUCUUUAGUCUAUGGAAUAUAUCUUAUUGUUAUCUGUAAAAUAAGUAGUAUUUGUACCUCAAAAGUGUAUGAUAUUGAAAUAGUAGUCUAGUGUGCUUCUAGAAAAGGUUAUACAUGCUACUUAAGGUCAAAAUUAUUGUGACAAUGACUUUUAAAAUUAAAAGCAGGGUUCACUAUAGAUGUCAGGACUGGUGGCAAAAUGACAUGGACACAGCAACGUGCUGUCAAAUAUUCAGUAUAAUCAAAAUGAAAAAUCUUAGGAGGGGAUUCUUUAUUUUUCAGUAUAAAAUUUUGCAUGGGACAGAAGCACUUUCCUUCUUGGCCAAUAAGAGCAAGUAUCCUUGUAGAUGGUGUUUGUUUCCAGCUGUUCCAGCUGUGCUGGGACAUGCGCGUUCUGCUCGGAGCCAUUGUGCGCUCUGCAGACAGAGCAAACCCAACAUUUCUCACUCGGGACACUUUAAGACAAGCACAUGGGUGAAUUCACAGGGAGGGAAAAGGCCGUCUGGUUGGCGUGAUAGGCAAAAAACGUACCAGCCCACUCUUCCUAACGAGAUUUUAAAUUGACGUUAUGGGGGAAAAGAACUUGCGAUGAAGCCAGACGUGAUUUUUGUGGCUGGCUGUGCAGGGUGUUCCCGAGUGGCAGGACAAGGUGUUGGAAGUUUGCGUUUUCAAAUGGGGCAACUGGAAUAACAAAGAGCUUGUGUACAAUGCAAAAUUGAUUCUUUCUGUAUCACAACUGAUAAAGCUUUUGAAGCACAGGCAUUUUGAAAACAGGCAGGGAAGGAAAUCACAUCCUCAUUCUUUUAAUUGGGGAAAAAAACCCCUCCAAAUUAUUUAACCAGUAUCAAUGAGCCUUUCUUGCACCUUCCGCGCAGGUUUUGGGAGUUGUCAAUGGGAAGUCCGUGAAAAGAACGGUUCCUGAUUGAAAUAUGCAUAUCCUAAAUUCUAUAGGUAUUUCGAGCUCCUGCGAAUACAGAGAGCUGAAUUCCCUUCUGGUGUUUUCCUGGGAGCUGUAAUGAGAUCUCAGUACUGAAGAGAAGUUAAGACGCUUGCAGGAAGAAAAGCUUUGUAAAAUCUGUAUGGCUAAGAACAUAUCAGUUGUCCUCAUUCCCUGUGGUCACCUAGUUGCCUGUAAGGAAUGUGCUGAAGCAGUUAAUGAAUGUCCUCUGUGUCGUGCAAAUAUUAUGAAAAGGCAGGAGAUUUUUAUGUAUUAGUGAAAUAUACAGCACUGUGGAUGCAAACAUUUCCUGCUUUAUUGCUUUAAAUAUAAGUUAUGUAAUGUCAAAAACUAAGUUAAUUCCAGGACGUAAUCAUAUGGCAGUAUUUAGAUUUUUCUGCUAUCAAUCUCUAAAUACAUUUUAACAUGUUAAAUUAUUUUUCUUAAGUGAUUCUUUUUUGUAUGUAAAAGCCAAUACUGAAAGGCAAAUAUUUAUAUUCUGUAACUUCAAUUUCCAGACCUGAUGUGGGAAAGCCUGGGUAAUGCAAAGCUUUAUUUAUGUGAUCAUUCCUUUGCUUCGCUUUGCUAGGACCCUGUGUGACUGACGUUUAUGCAAAUACAGCUGUAUAAAGAGUCGGCCCUAUAUAAAAUUUGUAAAUAAGUGAAUUUAAAAAAUAUUUUAUACAGGUGUAUUGUAUCUGAGAUUUUAUCUUCUCAAAAACGUUGUGUAAGAUUGAAAAUGUUUGCUUCUGCAACUUUGGUUGUGACAAUUCAGAGACUGCAGGGCAAGCCGCUGCUGGAAGAUUUCACCUUACGCGUGUCGCUGCUGUGAUGAAGUUUGUCUGGUUUGAUGUAGGAUUCCUGUCCCCCCCUUUUUUCUGUUUAGAUGUAUAAAUUGGCUUCAGUAGAUUGGUUUUAGCUGUCUGGUUUUGGCAGCAAUGCCUCUGUAUAUAAAAUGUAUAUUCUCUUGAAAGAGAAUAGAAACGGAGGAGAUUUGAUGUCCCUUGUGCCCUUCAUGAAGAAGCGGCCUCAGUCUAAAAUUCCCUCCCAGCACAAAAAGCUGUUCAUUGGUUGACUUUUUGUUCUUCUGUGCUUAUUUUGAAUAUUUAGCAUUAUCCCAAGUCACUUGUCUGCUGAAGCUUUGAGGUGCUUUUGUUUGACUAGUUUUUCAUAAAAACUCUGUCUCCAUGAAGAUGCUUCUUUAGCAAUCCACCAGUAAUGUUAGAAACACUUCAUUUUUGUUCGUGUCGGUUUGCAGCACUGAAAUUGAAGAGUUGAGAACCGUUCUAGUGAGAGUCACCUUAAAAUAGUUAAUGAAAUAUUUACUACCAGGCUGUUCCUCAAUUCUCCAAAAGGUAUCACAGCUUUAUGCUCAAGUACAGCUGCUUGACAAUCGCUCUCAUUAUGUAACUUCCUUAUUUUGUGGAGCUACUCGUGUGUUCUGUGUAUAUAUUUGUAUCUUUAAGUCUUACACACUAGUAUAUUUAGAAUAUACAGAAUAUAGUUUUUCACACGAUCAAAGUUUAAUGUCUACUUUUUCUAUUUUUUUAAAUAUGUGCUGUGAUUAUAUGCUGGUGUAAUGUUAUGAAUAGUUAAAAUAAAGUGCAACCCAGUCGUUCCUGA
This is an RNA transcript of Columba livia (rock pigeon), 4170 nucleotides long. It is a transcript of the gene named X-linked inhibitor of apoptosis, with no coding region annotated. The transcript is spliced from 8 exons. Lineage: Eukaryota; Metazoa; Chordata; Aves; Columbiformes; Columbidae. The record is from RefSeq and is a predicted model, not a curated record.